CCUACGGGGGGCAGCAGUGGGGGAUAUUGCACAAUGGGGGAAACCCUGAUGCAGCGACGCCGCGUGAGUGAAGAAGUAUUUCGGGAUGUAAAGCUCUAUCAGCAGGGAAGAAAAGGACAGUACCUGACCAAGAAGCCCCGGCUAACGACGUGCCAGCAGCCGCGGUAAUACGUAGGGGGCAAGCGUUAUCCGGAUUUACUGGGUGUACAGGGAGCGUAGACGGUUCUGGAAGUCUGGAGUGAAAGCCCGGGGCCCACCCCCGGGACUGCUUUGGAAACUGUGUAACUGGAGUACAGGAGGGGCAGGCGGAAUUCCUGGUGUAGCGGUGAAUUGCGUCGAUAUCAGGCGGACCACCGGCGGCGAAGGCGGCCUGCUGGACUGCACCUGACGUUGAGGCUCGAACGCGUGGGGAGCAAACAGGAUUAGAUACCCCUGUAGUC
RNAcentral lists this ribosomal RNA (440 nucleotides) under uncultured bacterium. Its description in RNAcentral is "partial 16S ribosomal RNA". It matches the Rfam family "Bacterial small subunit ribosomal RNA", at positions 338 to 795 of the family's 1533-position model. The record is from RNAcentral.